This 176-nucleotide ribosomal RNA is filed under the name uncultured bacterium. RNAcentral's name for it is "partial 16S ribosomal RNA". It matches the Rfam family "Bacterial small subunit ribosomal RNA", at positions 1317 to 1500 of the family's 1533-position model. The record is from RNAcentral.
UCCAUGAAGCUGGAUUCGCUAGUAAUCGCGCAUCAGCCACGGCGCGGUGAAUACGUUCCCGGGCCUUGUACACACCGCCCGUCAAGCCAUGGAAGCCGGGAGUGCCUGAAGUGCGUGAGCGCAAGCAGCGCCCUAAGGUAAAACCGGUGACUGGGGCUAAGUCGUAACAAGGUAUC